AAUCCUACUUGGAUAACUGUGGUAAUUCUAGAGCUAAUACAUGCAUUAAAGCUCUGACCUCACGGGAAGAGUGCAUUUAUUAGAACAAAACCAAGCGGCUUCGGCUGUUUCUGGUUGACUCAUAGUAACUGAGCUGAUCGCAUGGUCUUGCACCGGCGACGUGUCUUUCAAGUAUCUGCCGUAUCAACUUUCGAUGGUAGUGUAUCUGACUACCAUGGUGAUCACGCGUAACGGAGAAUAAGGGUUCGGCUCCGGAGAGUUCGCCUGAGAAAUCGCGAACACAUCUAAGGAAGGCAGCAGGCGCGAAAAUUACCCACUCUCAGCACGAGGAGGUAGUGACGAAAAAUAACGAGACCGUUCUCUUAUGAGGCCGGUCAUCGGAAUGGGUACAAUUUAAACCCUUUAACGAGUAUCUAUGAGAGGGCAAGUCUGGUGCCAGCAGCCGCGGUAAUUCCAGCUCUCAAAGUGCAUAGAAUUAUUGCUGCGGUUAAAAAGCUCGUAGUUGGAUCUGUGCCAUAGGACGUGGUCCACCUUCGGGUGCGUACUACGCUCCUAGGCUUUUUGCUGGUUUUCCCGUCGUAGCCUUCACUGGUUGCGGCGGGUGGCUGGCGAGUUUACUUUGAGAAAAUCAGAGUGCUCAAUACAGGCGUAUCGCUUGAAUGAUUGUGCAUGGAAUAAUAGAAAAGGAUUUCGGUCCUCUUUUAUUGGUUUUGUGGACUGAGAUAAUGGUUAACAGGGACAAACGGGGGCAUUCGUAUCUCUGCGUGAGAGGUGAAAUUCUUGGACCGUAGAGAGACGCCCUACUGCGAAAGCAUU
Molecule: ribosomal RNA, 816 nt
Filed under: Acrobeloides sp. TC9
Lineage: Eukaryota; Metazoa; Nematoda; Chromadorea; Rhabditida; Cephalobidae
Description: SSU rRNA
Rfam family: Eukaryotic small subunit ribosomal RNA
Source: RNAcentral